This 253-nucleotide ribosomal RNA is filed under the name uncultured bacterium. RNAcentral's name for it is "partial 16S ribosomal RNA". It matches the Rfam family "Bacterial small subunit ribosomal RNA", at positions 524 to 776 of the family's 1533-position model. The record is from RNAcentral.
UACGUAGGGUGCGAGCGUUAAUCGGAAUUACUGGGCGUAAAGCGUGCGCAGGCGGCUUCGCAAGUCAGACGUGAAAUCCCCGGGCUUAACCUGGGAAUGGCGUUUGAAACUACGGAGCUGGAGUGUGGCAGAGGGAGGUAGAAUUCCACGUGUAGCGGUGAAAUGCGUAGAUAUGUGGAGGAAUACCGAUGGCGAAGGCAGCCUCCUGGGCCAACACUGACGCUCAUGCACGAAAGCGUGGGUAGCAAACAGG